UACACAUGCAAGUCGAGCGAAGCGAUUCAAAAGAAGUUUUCGGACGGAUUUUGAAUUGACUUAGCGGCGGACGGGUGAGUAACGCGUGGGUAACCUGCCUCAUACAGGGGGAUAACAGUUAGAAAUGACUGCUAAUACCGCAUAAGCGCACAGUGCUGCAUAGCACAGUGCGAAAAACUCCGGUGGUAUGAGAUGGACCCGCGUCUGAUUAGGUAGUUGGUGAGGUAACGGCCCACCAAGCCGACGAUCAGUAGCCGACCUGAGAGGGUGACCGGCCACAUUGGGACUGAGAGACGGUCCAGACUCCUACGGGAGGCAGCAGUAGGGAAUCUUCCGCAAUGGGCGAAAGCCUGACGGAGCAACGCCGCGUGAGUGAUGAAGGUCUUCGGAUCGUAAAGCUCUGUCUUCGGUGACGAUAAUGACGGUAGCCGAGGAGGAAGCCACGGCAAACUACGUGCCAGCAGCCGCGGUGAUACGUAGGUGGCAAGCGUUGUCCGGAAUUACUGGGCGUAAAGCGCGCGUAGACGGCUAGAUAAGUCAGAUGUGAAAGACCCGGGCUCAACCUGGGGGUUGCAUCUGAGACUGUGUAGCUUGAGUGCAGGAGAGGCAAGUGGAAUUCCCAGUGUAGCAGUGAAAUGCGUAGAGAUUGGGAGGAACACCAGUGGCGAAGGCGACUUGCUGGACUGUAACUGACGUUGAGGUGCGAAAGCUAGGGGAGCAAACGGGAUUAGAUACCCCGGUAGUCCUAGCCGUAAACGAUGGGGUACUAGGUGUGGGAGGUAUCGACCCCUUCCGUGCCGGA
Molecule: ribosomal RNA, 802 nt
Filed under: uncultured bacterium
Lineage: Bacteria
Description: bacterial SSU rRNA
Rfam family: Bacterial small subunit ribosomal RNA
Source: RNAcentral